RNAcentral lists this ribosomal RNA (483 nucleotides) under uncultured bacterium. RNAcentral's name for it is "partial 16S ribosomal RNA". It matches the Rfam family "Bacterial small subunit ribosomal RNA", at positions 30 to 504 of the family's 1533-position model. The record is from RNAcentral.
AUUGAACGCUGGCGACAUGCCUUACACAUGCAAGUCGAACGGCAGCACGGGUGCUUGCACCUGGUGGCGAGUGGCGAACGGGUGAGUAAUACAUCGGAACAUGUCCUGUAGUGGGGGAUAGCCCGGCGAAAGCCGGAUUAAUACCGCAUACGAUCUACGGAUGAAAGCGGGGGACCUUCGGGCCUCGCGCUAUAGGGUUGGCCGAUGGCUGAUUAGCUAGUUGGUGGGGUAAAGGCCUACCAAGGCGACGAUCAGUAGCUGGUCUGAGAGGACGACCAGCCACACUGGGACUGAGACACGGCCCAGACUCCUACGGGAGGCAGCAGUGGGGAAUUUUGGACAAUGGGCGAAAGCCUGAUCCAGCAAUGCCGCGUGUGUGAAGAAGGCCUUCGGGUUGUAAAGCACUUUUGUCCGGAAAGAAAUCCUUGGCCCUAAUACGGUCGGGGGAUGACGGUACCGGAAGAAUAAGCACCGGCUAACUAC